This 131-nucleotide ribosomal RNA is filed under the name Mycetomoellerius zeteki. Lineage: Eukaryota; Metazoa; Arthropoda; Insecta; Hymenoptera; Formicidae. The record is from RNAcentral.
GUCAACGGUCAUACCACUUCGAACGCACAAGUUCUCGUCCGAUCACUUAAGUCAAGCAACGUUGGACGCGGUUACUUAAAUGUAAAGUACUUAAAUGGAUGACCGUUUGCGAACACCGUGUACUGUUGGCA